RNAcentral lists this ribosomal RNA (443 nucleotides) under uncultured bacterium. Its description in RNAcentral is "partial 16S ribosomal RNA". It matches the Rfam family "Bacterial small subunit ribosomal RNA", at positions 338 to 795 of the family's 1533-position model. The record is from RNAcentral.
CCUACGGGGGGCAGCAGUGAGGAAUAUUGGUCAAUGGAGGCAACUCUGACCCAGCAACGCCGCGUGAAUGAUGAAGGUCUUCGGAUUGUAAAGUUCUGUGAUGGGGGAUGAACACAAUGACGGUACCCCAAUAGCAAGCCACGGCUAACUACGUGCCAGCAGCCGCGGUAAUACGUAGGUGGCAAGCGUUAUCCGGAAUGACUGGGCGUAAAGGGUGCGUAGGUGGUUUAGUAAGUUGGCGGUGUAAUUCCGGGGCUCAACCUCGGCGCUACCGCCAAAACUAUUAGACUAGAGUGCAGGGGGGGUAAGUGGAAUUCCUAGUGUAGCGGUGGAAUGCGUAGAUAUUAGGAGGAACAUCAGGUGCGAAGGUGACUUACUGGACUGUAACUGACACUGAGGCACGAAAGCGUGGGGAGCAAACAGGAUUAGAUACCCGGGUAGUC